GGGCUUGUGGUGCAACGGAUAGCACAACCGGCUUCGGACCGGUUAAUCAGGGUUCGAUUCCUUGCAAGCCCA
This 72-nucleotide transfer RNA is filed under the name Nanobdellota archaeon. RNAcentral describes it as "tRNA-Arg". It matches the Rfam family "tRNA". From Rfam's summary of the family: Transfer RNA (tRNA) molecules are approximately 80 nucleotides in length. Their secondary structure includes four short double-helical elements and three loops (D, anti-codon, and T loops). Lineage: Archaea; Nanobdellati; Nanobdellota. The record is from RNAcentral.